UGCAUGUGUGUGUAGGUGUGUGUGAUGUCCAUUAGACCCCAACAAAGAAUAUGUCCAAAAUAUUUGUUGGUAUUCAUUAUAGACUUUUAUACUAUUAAAUAUUUUUUUUCUGAUAAGUUGUCAUACCUUUG
Long non-coding RNA from Stegastes partitus (bicolor damselfish), 131 nucleotides. RefSeq lists it as uncharacterized. The record is from RefSeq and is a predicted model, not a curated record. Lineage: Eukaryota; Metazoa; Chordata; Actinopteri; Pomacentridae. The transcript is spliced from 4 exons.